This 497-nucleotide ribosomal RNA is filed under the name uncultured bacterium. RNAcentral's name for it is "partial 16S ribosomal RNA". It matches the Rfam family "Bacterial small subunit ribosomal RNA", at positions 29 to 507 of the family's 1533-position model. The record is from RNAcentral.
AAUGAACGCUGGCGGCGUGCCUAAUACAUGCAAGUCGAGCGAACAGACGAGGAGCUUGCUCCUCUGACGUUAGCGGCGGACGGGUGAGUAACACGUGGAUAACCUACCUAUAAGACUGGGAUAACUUCGGGAAACCGGAGCUAAUACCGGAUAAUAUAUUGUACCGCAUGGUUCAAUAGUGAAAGACGGUUUUGCUGUCACUUAUAGAUGGAUCCGCGCCGCAUUAGCUAGUUGGUAAGGUAACGGCUUACCAAGGCAACGAUGCGUAGCCGACCUGAGAGGGUGAUCGGCCACACUGGAACUGAGACACGGUCCAGACUCCUACGGGAGGCAGCAGUAGGGAAUCUUCCGCAAUGGGCGAAAGCUUGACGGAGCAACGCCGCGUGAGUGAUGAAGGUCUUCGGAUCGUAAAACUCUGUUAUUAGGGAAGAACAAAUGUGUAAGUAACUAUGCACGUCUUGACGGUACCUAAUCAGAAAGCCACGGCUAACUACGUG